GCGGGGCUACGACAAAGUCUAGAUUCGGUCCUGAAUGUAGUUGACGUCAGCGACGCAUGCGCAACAGAACGGACGGCACUGCAGAAGCAGCCGAGUUCGCGAGUGUAUCGAUUUUAUGAUCGUGUCUCUCGCCGAUAGUGUGUCCGUUUCCUUUAGUUUUUAGUUGCUCAUGGUAUGUGGAUAAAAUCGUGAAUGGGAUUAGUCGCUAGUCUCAUCGUUCCGUACACCCGCUGACUCGCAACACUUUGUUACCCUCACCAUGACCAAGGAUAGAUUAGCAGCUCUCGUUGCGGCCCAGUCGGACGACGAUGACGUGGCGGACGAUGUGUCCGUCAACGUCGGCGGGCCCGAUGAUUUCAUGACCGAAUUCUUCGCGGAGGUGGAGGAGAUCCGCGAAAUGAUAGACAGGAUCCAGACGAACGUAGAGGAUGUGAAGAAAAAACAUAGUGCCAUCUUGUCGGCACCACAGACCGACGAAAAGGUUAAAAUGGAAUUGGAAGACCUGAUGUCCGACAUCAAAAAAACGGCGAAUAAAGUCAGAGCUAAACUGAAGGUGAUAGAACAAAAUAUCGAGCAAGAGGAACACACGAACAAAUCCUCGGCGGACUUGAGGAUACGCAAGACACAGCACUCCACGCUUUCGAGGAAGUUUGUCGAGGUGAUGACGGAGUACAAUCGGACGCAAACCGAUUACAGAGAACGGUGUAAGGGAAGGAUACAACGACAGCUGGAAAUCACCGGUAGGACGACCACCAACGAGGAACUGGAAGAAAUGCUGGAACAGGGGAAUCCGGCGGUGUUCACGCAGGGGAUUAUCAUGGAAACGCAACAAGCGAAACAGACGCUCGCCGAUAUCGAGGCGCGUCACGCCGACAUCAUCAAACUAGAAAAUUCCAUCAGGGAACUCCACGACAUGUUCAUGGACAUGGCGAUGCUGGUGGAAAGUCAGGGCGAGAUGAUAGAUCGCAUAGAGUACCACGUGGAACACGCGGUGGACUACGUGCAGACGGCUACGCAGGACACCAAAAAAGCGCUCAAGUAUCAAAGCAAAGCUCGACGGAAAUUGAUGUUCAUCGUCAUUUGCCUGACAGUAGCGUUCAUCAUUCUCGUAAUCAUUCUGGUAUACACGUUGUAAGAAGACGGUCCGCGAGGCUCGACUUUCAGCGAGGCGGGACACGAGAGAGACAAUGUUGAAGGAAAAGGCCGAAAUAAAAAAAGAAAAACAACAGCGACCAACCACCAAGCUCUCUCGCGCGACGUUUUCCUUUCGGAACGUGGUGGACACUUCGCCGUGUACUCGUUUCUUUUUUUUUUUUUUUUUUUUUUUGCUCCAGGGGAUCGGGGAAAAUGUUGUUGGCUGUCGGUUCCGCGCGUCUUCUUCCCGUUGUGUCGUUGCAAUUCCACAGGAAUCCACAGGCCGGUUGGAUCGGGCGAGGAGAGUUCUCCUAGGAAAAGAAAAAAAAAAAGAGAGAGAAACCACGGUGGAAAAAAAAAGGGGGAGCCUCAGGUCUCUAGGAUCCGACGAGAGAAAUUCAGGAUCCAGGAUUCAGGAUCAGGAGCCACACACGAAGGCACGAGUGACGCGGGCGCACACGCUGAGAGAGAGAGAGAGAGAGAGAGAGAGAGAAUGAGUGAGAGAGAGAUGGUAUGCGAAUGUGUGUGUGCACGCGAUAGAGAGAGAGAGAGAGAGUGAGAGAGGGGAGUGAUGCCCACGCACCGCCCCCACGGGAGGAGAUCCUCCAAGUAUACAAUAUGCAUUAUUUAUACAUUAUACUGUUAGUUACCGUAGUCGGGACGUUGCGUGCCGCGUUGUAUAAUCUGUCAUUGUGUUUUUGCCGAGCGCAGAAGAAGAUCAUGAUCAUGAUCUGCCUUGCUAUACUCGCCGUCGUUCUCACCACCACCAUCGGUGGAUACUUUGGGCUGUGAACGCCGCGCUCAGACAAGCCGAAGCCAGUUGUCGUCGUCGUCGUCGUCGUCUUUGUGGUGAUGUUCGUCACCGAUCGCGAGAAACGCCCAGACAACAACAAAUUGGCCCUAGACAACAACAACAAUAAAAACAACAACAACAAUAACAACAUUGGAACCAAGCUGAACCAAGUGAAAGCCUCCUCCGAUAAUGAUGAUGAAGAUGAUGAUGAUGAUGAUGAUGAUGAUGAUGAUGAUGAUGCUGCUGCUGCUGCUGCUCGUCAACGGCAGCCACGGCGUGUUGUCGACAGGCCCAUUGUCCGCUCCUCGUCCUACGGAUCGUCUUCGCUGGAUUUCACGCCUUCUGUUACGCUUACGCGUUCACGUGCACGCGUUCACACCUGUCGGCCGUCGCGAGGAAGGAGGAAAGCAGAGCGAGAAGCGAGAAGAGGAGAAGAGGAGAAGAGAAAAGGGAGGAUCGAGGAUCGAAUAAAUGAAUACAUGUACACGUAGACGAAGAAGAAUUGCCUCGUUGUGCAGUUUCUUCUUCGUCGUCGUCGUCGUCGUCGUCGCCGUGUCGUCCCCUCUUUUAAUUUCUCGUCUCUCAGCUCGUAUUUCCCAGUCUCUCCGCUUGGUGACUCGGCAAGCAAAUAGGAAAAACGCCGUAGCAAAAGUAAGGGAAGUAAGCGAGCAGGCCGACGGGAAAGUACCAAGAGAAGAGGACACGGUCGCAGACGCGUGAGAACAACAGGUGGAAGAAACGGAGCGCGUGCACGGCGUGAAAGAAGAUGUGUGUGCCUGUGUCCUUGGUCGAGCUGUGUCUCUCUCGAGCGAUGAUCGUUGUACCGCGUUACAUGAAGUGUGAAAAGCGAGUGACGAAGAAAGGGAAGACGUCGCUGGCACGAAAGAGAAGAAAUUGGGGGCUGUGAGCACAGUAAAUCGUCGUGAAUCUCUGACCUACGUGCGAGUUGUAUGCAUGCAUGUGUUGCGUAUGUAUCUGGUUCCGAGCCAAGCCUAACCUGACCGCCUAAUGGAGUUUUUCUGUAACGCGAGGCGUCGCGCGAGGCUACCCCGAGGCCACAACCCUCUCGUUUAUCGCGCCGGGCUCUGGUAGCCGGUGUCCAAUUAUAAACCGACUACCUACCGAAGUGCAUUCAUUUUGACUGUGAUUUUUCAACCGAGCUUGGAAAUUAGUUCUUUACGAGUUCUCCCGCGUUCUCUGUAAAAAAAGAAAAAAAAAAACGCGCCCCACAUCGCUCAUUCCCUCCCCCACAUAUCAUGUCACUUGCGUACGAUAUCGAGGCGUUACAUGUGUUACACGUAGAUGUCUGUGCGCCAUUCCUCUCCAUCGAAUCCGUGGAGAAAUUUCAAUUGAAUUGAAUUCGAGUAUCGUGUAAUACAUGCCGAGCCCCCGAGGAGCUGGCAACAGCCGGGGGGAGAGAUAGAGAAAGAGUUACCUAGCUUGCUAGAGAGAAAUGUCCCGCUUCGAAAUCGAAGAAACGAGUAGAAAUACCCAGAGAGUAGAGCUGUGUCCAGAGCUGUGGACGCGCGAAGAGCGCGAAAGGGCAAAUUUCCAAGUGCGUCGCAACGUUGGGCUAGCUAUCGUUCGACGGAGUACAUACCGUAGUUUACACCUAAGUAGUUUGUUUCUCGCUUUCGACGUGGCUUCGUCGAUUCAUCGGUUGGUCACAACAAUCGUGAACGGCCGCGGCCGAGUCGAAUACAUAGUGGAACGAUGAUAAUACGUCGUUGACGUCGUGUUGCACGAAACGCCAUUAGGACGAGUGGGUUCGAUCGACGACCGAUCGGCGAAUUAAUCGCUUUGCUUCCCUUUCGUACAUCGUGAGCCCUCCUUUCGACAGCCCUCUAGCCGAGUUUCCGUGACCUUUCCCUUUUUUUUAUUGGUUGUCACACGAACACACACACACACACACACGAGCCUGGUGUCUUUUUUUUCUUUCUUCUUUCAGUUCAGCUCGUGGAUGCUGAGCGCUCGGAAAUGAGCGAGUAAAACCGAUUCAAUAAAGACAAGAAACACUGUUGACCGAUUUGAUUUUGGUUCUUGCUCGAGGGGAACGAAAGCUCGGUAUAUUGGACCGUCGAAAGUGGUCCAUUUUUUCUUUGUUCGCUUGUAUCGCUGUGUUGAAGCGGUCGGUCGUACGCGGCGCGGGAGAAGAACAGAGGACGACGAGUUUUUUUGCAACAACAGUGAUGGAAUUGCGAGUAGAGUCGAGGCAACACGCAGGCAAGACGGACACGCGGAAGAGACGAGGGACACGAACACGCGUUAGAGCAGGGAAGAGGAGAUCUAUAAAACUGCAGCAAUAAUAAGAUAUAGGUGUUUUACGGGAGACUAAUUAACGCUAAUAACAAUCGUCGACGAUAAAAAUCUGGAUAUCAUACCGAUGUGUAUCGUAUCUACACAAAGUGUAUACAUAUAUAUUUAUUGCUAUAUGUGUAUAUAUAUGUAUAUAUACACACACACACGUAUACACACAUAAAAAAAAGAAAAAGAAACACUCGUACAUAUAUAUAUAUACACACAAACACGUACAGAGAAACAUACUCGGUGAAUAUGAGCGCAAACUCGCGAGACACGCAGGUGGCGUACGACACGUACUAUAUUUACACACAUACACACACACAAACAUAGCAUACACACACACAUAGCGCGACGUGUAACGCGCAAAACGCGUUCACGGUACAUACAAAAUGGAAAAAAAAAAAAAUAAAAACAUAUUACAUGUAUAUAUAAAAUAGAUAGUCGGCACAGUCGAAAAGAGUAAUAUAUUAACGAUGAUAAUUUAUUAUUCACGACGCUGUUGCUCGUGUACACUAUCGUCUGAUUAUUGCUUUUCGAGCAAACAAAAAAUGGAAAAAAAAAAAAGAAAAAAAAACGGGCGACGUUCGUGUUAAUGUUUUGUUGAUUAUAUUAUAUGAACGUUGAGGUACACGCGUUUCAAAGAUUAUGGGUUAAUGUUUCAGAAUAAUAUGUAUAAGAAAGGAAGAAAACGAAAAAAAAAGAAAAAAAAAAGAAGAAGAUGAAGAAGACAAACGGUUAAGCUACACACAGGCCACGUUUUGCUGCAACAGCAAUACAGUUGAGACAAAGAGUACGGUUAAAAUGCGAUUGAGGACGGCGAUACGACGCUG
Molecule: RNA transcript, 5058 nt
Organism: Frieseomelitta varia
Lineage: Eukaryota; Metazoa; Arthropoda; Insecta; Hymenoptera; Apidae
Gene name: syntaxin-1A
Exons: 10
Source: RefSeq, a predicted model, not a curated record